This 253-nucleotide ribosomal RNA is filed under the name uncultured bacterium. Its description in RNAcentral is "partial 16S ribosomal RNA". It matches the Rfam family "Bacterial small subunit ribosomal RNA", at positions 524 to 776 of the family's 1533-position model. The record is from RNAcentral.
UACGGGGGGGGUAAGCGUUGUUCGGAAUUACUGGGCGUAAAGGGCUCGUAGGCGGCCAACUAAGUCAGACGUGAAAUCCCUCAGCUUAACUGGGGAACUGCGUCUGAUACUGGAUGGCUUGGAUUCGGGAGAGGAAUGCGGAAUUCCAGGUGUAGCGGUGAAAUGCGUAGAUAUCAGGAAGAACACCAACGGCGAAGGCAGCUCGCUGGGACGGUACUGACGCUGAGACGCGAAAGCGUGGGGAGCGAACAGG